AUACGUAGGUGACAAGCGUUAUCCGGAUUUACUGGGCGUAAAGGGCGUGUAGGCGGUCUUGCAAGUCAGAAGUGAAAUUCCUGAGCUCAACUCGGGCGCUGCUUCUGAAACUGCAGGGCUUGAGUGCUGGAGGGGAUAGCGGAAUUCCUAGUGGAGCGGUAAAAUGCGCAGAUAUUAGGAAGAACACCGGUGGCGAAGGCGGCUAGCUGGACAGUAACUGACGCUGAGGCGCGAAAGCGUGGGGAGCAAACAGGAUUAGAUACCCGGGUAGUCCACGCCGUAAACGAUGAAUACUAGGUGUAGGGGGUAUCGACUCCCUCUGUGCCGCAGUUAACACAAUAAGUAUUCCGCCUGGGGAGUACGGCCGCAAGGUUGAAACUCAAAUGAAUUGACGGGG
RNAcentral lists this ribosomal RNA (397 nucleotides) under uncultured bacterium. RNAcentral describes it as "partial 16S ribosomal RNA". It matches the Rfam family "Bacterial small subunit ribosomal RNA", at positions 523 to 918 of the family's 1533-position model. The record is from RNAcentral.